AGGGAUUCCAGAUUGUUAUAAAGGAUUUGCCGCGUUAGGUUUUCUGGGAUUGUUAUGUUCGCCUGAGCGAGAGCGAGACAGAGAGAUGGUUAAGAUGGUGAAGAGGAUGGUGGAGGAGAGGAGAGGACGGCUAGGGUUUGUCGAAGAAAAACAACAUCGCAAGCGAAGUCGCCCUGUUCCUGUCCCCUCGUCGGGUCCUGCUCCUCUGCGUCGAUCCACGCGCCUGAACCCUAACCGUGACGCCGUCGAGAUCCGCAACGACGAUCCCGAGAUGCAAAUGGGAAUUCAUCCAAAAGAUUUGCACGAAUAGUAUUUCAACUCUUACCCUGACUCUGAGGAGGAUUGCAUCCCCUACUAGAAAAAGUAUAAAAAGAAUGAGAUCUUGACCAAAGAGGAUUGCGUCCGCUACCACCUAAACCCUGAUGUGUAUGUGGGUCACCGCCCGCCUAGGCCCUUUAUUUGUGGUUCGACUCGAUCAUUUGCAGUAAGCGACGAAGAUGAAUUCGAAGAUUGCAAACAAUAUUCGCAGCUCGCAAUAGACGAAUACCACCGUCGCCUCAAGAAUGAAAAUCCACAACUAGAGUUUGUGGAGCUUUUGACAGCAAGGUAUAAGCUUUCCGAUAUAGUCAGGUAUUAUAUAACCUUUGAGGCCAAGGAUAUUGCUGCUGGAGGCCAGACUAAGACCUAUCAAGCUGUGGUGCGUAUACCCUUCAAGUGGGAUGGUGAUGUCUCCGUGUUGUGUUUCAGGGAGUGUGAGCAAGAGCAAGGUUCAGGCAAUAUACAUGGUAAAGAAUGGUGUUGGGAAGUUCACACUGCUGUGAGGCCCUAUUUAGAGGAGUAUCCAUCGGACGAGUACCCAUCGGAGGAGGAGAUUGUUGAAGAAGAUAUCUAAUUAUCCAAGCCUAAAUAGAAGAAUAUUAGUACAAGCCUCAACCUCACCUGUAUAGUUUUUUUAUGUGUACUGAUUUAUAUGCUAGCAGGAGUUUCAUGAUUGAAGUGGUCGGCAUUAUGAUGUGCUUCCCUAUAUACAUAUAUUUCUAGUUGUAGGAUUUUGUUGGGCCAUUGUAGUUGCAGAGACUACUGUGACUCUGUAAGGCCUCAUAAAGCGAAGGAUCUAUCAAAACCACGUCUUGAUUUAUCUAUAUAGGAGUUAAUGAACUUUUGUCUUCAAGAAGAAAAAAUAGUUUUUGAGCUUCCAGCAGCUUUUGAAUGGGUAAAAAAAAAAUGGACUUAGAAGUAAAGACGAGUAUCCCACAACUAUAAUUAACUUAAUUAUAAGUUCAUGGGAUACUCGUCUUUACUUUGGAGUCCAUUUUUUUCACCCAUUCAAAAGCUGCUGGAAGCUCAUACCCAUAAACUAUUAACUCCAAUAUGGAUAAAUCACGGCGUGGUUUUGAUAAGACCUUUCGCUUUAUGAGCCCCUACAAUAGUCUCUGCAGCUGCAGCUGCUAUGGUGCAACAAAAUCCCACAACUAGAAAUAUAUGUAUAUAUUUAAUUUUUGAAAAAUUAUAACAUAACUAAAAUAUUAAAUCUUGCACGACUUACCUUUGCUUAACAAUAUAAGGGGGAAGCACAUCAUAACGUAGACCACGCCAAUCAUGAAACUCCUGCUAGCAUAUAAAUCAAGGGAGCCCCUACUGUGCGGUCAGACAUCAAAAGUUGCAUUUUGCAGCAUCCAAUCUCAUUGU
Non-coding RNA from Corylus avellana, 1689 nucleotides. The record is from RefSeq and is a predicted model, not a curated record. NCBI's taxonomy places the organism in Eukaryota, Viridiplantae, Streptophyta, Magnoliopsida, Fagales, Betulaceae.